Molecule: long non-coding RNA, 473 nt
Filed under: Podarcis lilfordi (Lilford's wall lizard)
Lineage: Eukaryota; Metazoa; Chordata; Lepidosauria; Squamata; Lacertidae
Source: RNAcentral
UUCUAGGACCAAUCAGACUGCUGCAGUUUGGAUCCUAUUCAACUCAGUACAUAACAAAUACAUUUGUCCAAAAACCAGAAGCCUUUUUGUUAGGUAUAAUAGGUGAAGAGAUACCAAGAGAGGAUAAAAGACUUUUUAUGUCUGCAACGACGGCAGGGAGAAUGCUACAACCCAGAGAUGGAAGGAAGGAGAAGCACCAACCAAAGAAGAAUGGCAGGUGAAACUGAUGGAGUACGCAGAGAUGGCAAAACUGACAGGGAAGCUCAGAAACCAGGAAGAUCAAGUAUUUUCUAAAGACUGGAGUAAAUUUGUAAUUUAUUUAAAAGACCACUGUAAACAGUUAAAAUCUUUGGCAGGGAUGUAAUGACAUUUGUAAUGUGGAAUUAUUUGUGGUAAUUAUGGUUAUAUGAUAAAUGGAUAAGGGUAAAACAUGCAGUAAACUUAAAUCUAAAUAUGGAACCCAUGGAGGGAGG